This 302-nucleotide small RNA is filed under the name Histoplasma capsulatum. RNAcentral's name for it is "hypothetical RNA". The record is from RNAcentral. Lineage: Eukaryota; Fungi; Ascomycota; Eurotiomycetes; Onygenales; Ajellomycetaceae. RNAcentral also lists the same sequence under 1 other name.
UUGAUUUUCCAACAAAGACUUGAUACCCGAAACUUAAGCGGUUACCAUUGGUUAAUAAAACGAACCGUUUCAAUUGUCUAUGAAGAUCUAAGUAUGAUGAAGGCCAACAAGUAUUACGAAGAGUCAGCUAUUGUAUAGCAAUGCAAUGAAGAAAUAUCCAUGGAUGUAACAACGUAGUAAUAGGAGAACAGAACAAUUUCAGGAAUGAUAUCCCAAUAAUGCCCAAUGGCUCCAAUGACAAAUCUCAAAAGAAAUCAAAUAGCCAAACCCCGGGGAAUCUAAAUAUGAUACUUCAGUGUUGU